AGAGGGUGCAAGCGUUAAUCGGAAUUACUGGGCGUAAAGCGAGCGUAGGUGGCUUGAUAAGUCAGAUGUGAAAGCCCCGGGCUUAACCUGGGAACGGCAUCUGAUACUGUUAGGCUAGAGUAGGUGAGAGGAAGGUAGAAUUCCAGGUGUAGCGGUGAAAUGCGUAGAGAUCUGGAGGAAUACCGAUGGCGAAGGCAGCCUUCUGGCAUCAUACUGACACUGAGGUUCGAAAGCGUGGGUAGCAAACAGGAUUAGAUACCCUGGUAGUCCACGCCGUAAACGAUGUCUACUAGUCGUUGGGUCCCUUGAGGACUUAGUGACGCANCUAACGCAAUAAGUAUCCCACCUGGGAAGU
Molecule: ribosomal RNA, 355 nt
Filed under: uncultured bacterium
Lineage: Bacteria
Description: bacterial SSU rRNA
Rfam family: Bacterial small subunit ribosomal RNA
Source: RNAcentral